CCCUUAGAUGUCCUGGGCCGCACGCGCGCUACACUGAUGCAUGCAACGAGUUUAUAACCUUGGCCUGAAGGGUCUGGGUAAUCUUUUGAACGAGCAUCGUGAUAGGGAUAGAUUAUUGCAAUUGUUAAUCUUGAACGAGGAAUUCCUAGUAAACGCGAGUCAUCAGCUCGCAUUGAUUACGUCCCUGCCCUUUGUACACACCGCCCGUCGCACCUACCGAUUGAAUGGUUCGGUGAAGAUCUCGGACUUCGAUAUUUAUUCUUUAUUGAGUUUAUAUUGUGGGAAGUUAUCUAAACCUCAUCAUUUAGAGGAAGGUGAAGUCGUAACA
This 328-nucleotide ribosomal RNA is filed under the name uncultured eukaryote. RNAcentral describes it as "partial 18S ribosomal RNA". It matches the Rfam family "Eukaryotic small subunit ribosomal RNA", at positions 1470 to 1796 of the family's 1831-position model. The record is from RNAcentral.